This is a long non-coding RNA of Cylas formicarius (sweet potato weevil), 306 nucleotides long. RefSeq lists it as uncharacterized. The record is from RefSeq and is a predicted model, not a curated record. NCBI's taxonomy places the organism in Eukaryota, Metazoa, Arthropoda, Insecta, Coleoptera, Brentidae. The transcript has 3 exons.
GGAGAAUUUUGCUAUUGUGCUAAUAGUGCCCUACAUCCACUGUUUAGUAGAUUUGGCGGUUCGGCAGGCGACAACGCCUAUCACCAGGUUUGGUGAAUCCCUUUCCUGGGACAGCGAAAAGCAAGCCAUAUAUUUGGUGGACGUGCUGGGCAGUACGGUAUACCAGCACGUCUAUGGGUCCAAUGCAACCACAUCCACCAAAAUCGAUUCUGAAACGAUAGGAGCGGCCAUACCCAUCAGAGACAGAAUUGGUGAGUUUAUCGUUCCUGCGAACCAGGACGUGCUGAAACUCGAAUGGGAUGGAAC